This 489-nucleotide ribosomal RNA is filed under the name uncultured bacterium. Its description in RNAcentral is "bacterial SSU rRNA". It matches the Rfam family "Bacterial small subunit ribosomal RNA", at positions 355 to 856 of the family's 1533-position model. The record is from RNAcentral.
UGAGGAAUAUUGCACAAUGGGCGAAAGCCUGAUGCAGCGACGCCGCGUGGGUGAAGAAGGUUUUCGGAUCGUAAAACCCUUUUCUGUGUGACGAGAACGGACGGUAGCACAGGAAUAAGUCUCGGCUAACUACGUGCCAGCAGCCGCGGUAAAACGUAGGAGACAAACGUUAUCCGGAGUUACUGGGCGUAAAGGGCGUGUAGGUGGUUACGUAAGUCUGGCGUGAAAUAUCUCGGGCUUAACCGAGGCAGGUCGUCGGAUACUGCGGGACUAGAGGACGGUAGAGGCGUGUGGAAUUCCGGGUGUAGUGGUGAAAUGCGUAGAGAUCCGGAGGAACACCAGUGGCGAAGGCGACACGCUGGGCCGUACCUGACACUGAGGCGCGAUAGCAUGGGGAGCAAACAGGAUUAGAAACCCUGGUAGUCCAUGCCGUAAACGAUGCUAGCUGGGUGUUCAGGCGGGGAAACCCGUCGGGGUACCGAAGUCAAC